RNAcentral lists this small RNA (106 nucleotides) under Klebsiella pneumoniae. RNAcentral describes it as "partial RtT sRNA". It matches the Rfam family "RtT RNA", at positions 1 to 103 of the family's 130-position model. Rfam says of the family: This family represents a bacterial cis-regulatory element known as RtT RNA. The exact function of RtT is unknown although it is thought that it may be involved in changing the cellular response in relation to amino acid starvation. The record is from RNAcentral. Lineage: Bacteria; Pseudomonadati; Pseudomonadota; Gammaproteobacteria; Enterobacterales; Enterobacteriaceae.
UGCAUCUGGGGCCUGCGAGGAUGAGAACCUCCGGGGGCAGGAGGUUCGACUCGAGCGAAGCGAGAGAACGUUGCGUCAGCAACGGCCCGCAGGGCGAGCCACGAAG